Molecule: ribosomal RNA, 471 nt
Filed under: Tathicarpus butleri (Butler's frogfish)
Lineage: Eukaryota; Metazoa; Chordata; Actinopteri; Lophiiformes; Antennariidae
Description: partial 16S ribosomal RNA
Rfam family: Bacterial large subunit ribosomal RNA
Source: RNAcentral
UUCAACGGCCGCGGUAUCAUGACCGUGCAAAGGUAGCGCAAUCACUUGUCUUUUAAAUAAAGACCCGUAUGAAUGGCCCGACGAGGGCUUAACUGUCUCCUCUUCCUAGUCAAUUGAAAUUGAUCUCCCCGUGCAAGAAGCGGGGAUCUCUCCAUAAGACGAGAAGACCCUGUGGAGUUUUAGACACUAGGCAGCCUUCCCCCACCGCCCCCACAAGGACAUAUUACAAGAACCUGCCCCCGUGUCUUUGGUUGGGGCGACCACGGCAGCACAAAAACCCUCCACGCGGAACGGAGCCACUGCCCCUUAAACAAGGGCCACCGCCCUAAUUACUAGAACCUCUAACCUAUGAUCCGGCACGCCGAUUAACGGACCAAAUUACCCCAGGGAUAACAGCGCAAUCUCCUUUUAGAGACCUUAUCAAAAAGGAGGUUUACGACCUCGAUGUUGGAUCAGGACAUCCUAAUGGCG